RNAcentral lists this transfer RNA (60 nucleotides) under Cariama cristata (Red-legged seriema). It matches the Rfam family "tRNA", at positions 13 to 71 of the family's 71-position model. Rfam says of the family: Transfer RNA (tRNA) molecules are approximately 80 nucleotides in length. Their secondary structure includes four short double-helical elements and three loops (D, anti-codon, and T loops). Lineage: Eukaryota; Metazoa; Chordata; Aves; Cariamiformes; Cariamidae. The record is from Rfam by way of RNAcentral.
UAGUGGGGAUUGCCCCCGCCUGUCACGCGGGAGACCGGGGUUCGAUUCCCCGACGGGGAG